This 492-nucleotide ribosomal RNA is filed under the name uncultured bacterium. RNAcentral describes it as "partial 16S ribosomal RNA". It matches the Rfam family "Bacterial small subunit ribosomal RNA", at positions 29 to 507 of the family's 1533-position model. The record is from RNAcentral.
AGCGAACGCUGGCGGUAGGCCUAACACAUGCAAGUCGAACGGCAGCACAGUAAGAGCUUGCUCUUACGGGUGGCGAGUGGCGGACGGGUGAGGAAUACAUCGGAAUCUACUUUUUCGUGGGGGAUAACGUAGGGAAACUUACGCUAAUACCGCAUACGACCUACGGGUGAAAGCAGGGGAUCUUCGGACCUUGCGCGAUUGAAUGAGCCGAUGUCGGAUUAGCUAGUUGGCGGGGUAAAGGCCCACCAAGGCGACGAUCCGUAGCUGGUCUGAGAGGAUGAUCAGCCACACUGGAACUGAGACACGGUCCAGACUCCUACGGGAGGCAGCAGUGGGGAAUAUUGGACAAUGGGCGCAAGCCUGAUCCAGCUAUACCGCGUGGGUGAAGAAGGCCUUCGGGUUGUAAAGCCCUUUUGUUGGGAAAGAAAAGCAGCAGGUUAAUACCCCGCUGUUCUGACGGUACCCAAAGAAUAAGCACCGGCUAACUUCGUG